CCUACGGGUGGCUGCAGUGAGGAAUCUUGGUCAAUGGGCGGAAGCCUGAACCAGCCAAGUAGCGUGCAGGAUGACGGCCCUACGGGUUGUAAACUGCUUUUAUACGGGAAUAACGCGCCUUACGUGUAGGUCUUUGCAUGUACCGUAUGAAUAAGGACCGGCUAAUUACGUGCCAGCAGCCGCGGUAAGACGGAAGGUCCGGGCGUUAUCCGGAUUUAUUGGGUUUAAAGGGAGCGUAGGCCGCAUGUCAAGCGUGCUGUGAAAUGUCCGGGCUCAACCCGGGCCGUGCAGCGCGAACUGGCGUGCUUGAGUCCGCGGAAAGCAGGCGGAAUUCGUCGUGUAGCGGUGAAAUGCUUAGAUAUGACGAAGAACCCCGAUUGCGAAGGCAGCUUGCUGCAGCGGAACUGACGCUGAUGCUCGAAAGCGCGGGUAUCGAACAGGAUUAGAUACCCGAGUAGUC
RNAcentral lists this ribosomal RNA (460 nucleotides) under uncultured bacterium. RNAcentral's name for it is "partial 16S ribosomal RNA". It matches the Rfam family "Bacterial small subunit ribosomal RNA", at positions 338 to 795 of the family's 1533-position model. The record is from RNAcentral.